AUGAACGCUGGCGGCGUGCCUAAUACAUGCAAGUCGAGCGAACAGAUGAGGAGCUUGCUCCUCUGACGUUAGCGGCGGACGGGUGAGUAACACGUGGAUAACCUACCUAUAAGACUGGGAUAACUUCGGGAAACCGGAGCUAAUACCGGAUAAUAUAUUGAACCGCAUGGUUCAAUAGUGAAAGACGGUUUUGCUGUCACUUAUAGAUGGAUCCGCGCCGCAUUAGCUAGUUGGUAAGGUAACGGCUUACCAAGGCAACGAUGCGUAGCCGACCUGAGAGGGUGAUCGGCCACACUGGAACUGAGACACGGUCCAGACUCCUACGGGAGGCAGCAGUAGGGAAUCUUCCGCAAUGGGCGAAAGCUUGACGGGGCAACGCCGCGUGAGUGAUGAAGGUCUUCGGAUCGUAAAACUCUGUUAUUAGGGAAGAACAAAUGUGUAAGUAACUAUGCGCGUCUUGACGGUACCUAAUCAGAAAGCCACGGCUAACUACGUG
This 496-nucleotide ribosomal RNA is filed under the name uncultured bacterium. Its description in RNAcentral is "partial 16S ribosomal RNA". It matches the Rfam family "Bacterial small subunit ribosomal RNA", at positions 29 to 507 of the family's 1533-position model. The record is from RNAcentral.